AGAGCAUAUGGUGGAUGCCUUGACUCUAAGAGGCGAUGAAGGACGUAGCAGGCGGCGAUACGCUUCGGGGAGGUGCCUAGCAACCUUUGAUCCGGAGAUUUCCGAAUGGGGAAACCCUAUCUGGUAAAACCAGAUAACUCUGCGCAAGCGGAGAGUACACCCGGGGAAGUAAAACAUUUCAGUACCCGGAGGAAAAGAGAACAAUAUUGAGCUUUCUGAUUGUGGAGAUACUUCGGUGUCUCUACGAUCAGGAGCUCUUGUCAUUCCCUGAGUAGCGGCGAGCGAAAAGGGAGAAGCCCAAACUUGUCGUGCUUGCACGAUGAGGGUUGUAGGACGGAGAUUCGAGUAUUCUCGGAAGAGUUACAAAAUAUGUUGUUAGCCGAAGUUGCUGGAAAGCAACACCAAAGGAGGUAAUAGUCCUGUAGGCGAAAAUUACAUAUCUCUUCAGUCUCCGAACCUGAGUACAGCAGGACACGAAUAGCCUGCUGGAAUCCGCCAGCACUAACUGGCAAGGCUAAAUACUCUUAGAGAUCGAUAGUGAACAAGUACCGUGAGGGAAAGGUGAAAAGAACCCCGAUGAGGGGAGUGAAAUAGAUCCUGAAACCAUAUGCUUACAAGGAGUCGGAGCGGUUGUCGUAAGAUGACCGUCACGGCGUGCCUAUUGAAGAAUGAGCCAACGAGUUUUGGCAUGCGGCUGGCUAAGAGCCUUUAAAGCUCGGAGCCAUAGCGAAAGCGAGUGUUAAUAGCGCGAACAAAAGUCGUACGUCAAAGACCCGAAGCCAGAUGAUCUACCCAUGAGCAGGGUGAACCUUCUCGAAAGAGGAGGGGAGGCCCGAACCGGUAAGCCGUUCAACACUUUCGGAUGACUUGUGGGUCGGAGUGAAAAGCUAAUCGAAUCUGGUAAUAGCUGGUUUUCUCCGAAAUAGCUUUUGGGCUAGCGUCGCGUGUUCCUACUGGGGGUAGAGCACUGGAUGGUCUCGACAGGGAGCAAUCUCGCGAGACCAAUCAAACUCCGAAUACCAGUAGUUAGAAUGCGGCAGUUAGACUCUGGGGGCGAAGCUCCAGUGGUCAAAAGGGAAACAGCCCGGACCUCCAAUUAAGGUCCCAAAAUCUAUGCUCAGUGCAAGUAAGGAGGUGAUAUUUCUCGGACAGUGAGGAGGUUGGCUUAGAAGCAGCCAUCCUUUAAAGAAAGCGUAACAGCUCACUCACUCAGAGAUUUCGCACCGAAGAUGAUCGGGGCUUAAGCAUAGUACCGAAAUUGAGGACUGGAUGUCGCUUCGGUGACAUCCAGUGGUAGGAGAAUAUUCCAUUCUGCUGUGAAGCCAAAGGGGUGACCCAUGGUGGAGCGUAUGGAAGAAAGAAUGUUGGCACAAGUAACCGCAACGCGGGUGAGAGCCCCGCGCGCCGAAAUACCAAGGUUUCCUGGGCGAUGAUGAUCAGCCCAGGGUUAGUCGGGCCUAAGCCGAUGGCGAAAGCCGCAGGCGAUGGACACAUGGUUAAUAUUCCAUGACUUCCGUGUAUUGCGAUGGAGUGACGAAGGGUAGUAUGUCUCGCAUAUUAUUGGAUUUAUGUUCGUGUCGUGAGGACGCUCUUUAGGCAAAUCCGGAGAGCUCACUUUAAUGUGGAUUCCAAGCGAAGCGGAAACUCUGCGGGCAACCGCGGGGGAUGAGACAAAGCACGCUUCCGAGAAAAACUUCUAAGCAUAAAUACAUGGGAACCGUACCGCAAACCGACACAGGUGGUAGGGUCGAGAAGACCAAGGCGAACGAGUGAGAGGUCUCCAAGGAACUCGGCAAAAAAGCGGCCGUAAGUUCGCAAUAAGGCCUCCCUAAGCCGCAAGGUUUAGGGCGCAGCGAAAGAUUCCCUGGCAACUGUUUACCAAAAACACAGCUCCCUGCAAACUCGCAAGAGGAAGUAUAGGGGGUGACGCCUGACCAAUGCCCGAAGGUCAAAUAUCGGUGGUGGUAUGGAGCAAUCUGUACUGCUGGCUGAUAUAAGCCCGGGUCAAUGUCGGCGAUAACUAUAAUCGUCCUAAGGUAGCGCAAUUCCUUGUCUGGUAAGUUCAGACGUGCACGAAUGGCGUAAUGACUGGGGAACUGUCUCGGAGACUCGCUCGGUGAAAAUACAGUGCCGGUGAAGAUGCCGGCUACCUGCAGUUAGACGAAAAGACCCCAGAAGCUUUACUACAACUUGAUAUUGGGUAUGUUUUAGCACUGCGUAGAAUAGAUGGGAGGAUUUGAAGCAAGGGUUUCGGUUCUUGUGGAUCCAACAGUGAAAUACCAUUCUUUGCGGAGGCAUAUUCUAACCCGGACGGCAAAACCGUUCAGAGACAGUAUCUGGUGGGUAGUUUUAGUGGGGCGCUAUCCUCCUAAAAAGUAACGGAGGAGCCCAAAGGUCAGCUAGGCGCGAAUGGAAACCGUGCCGAUAGUGUAUAGGCAUAAGCUGGCUUCACUGCAAGAGGUACAUCUCGAGCAGCUGCGAAAGCAGGGCUAAGUGAACCGACCAUACGCAUUAGAUGCGGUGGAAGAUUAACGGAUAAAAGUUACUCUGGGGAUAACAGGCUAGUUCCGCCCAAGAGUUCAUAUCGACGGCGGAGUUCGGCACCUCGAUGUCGGCUCAACACAUCCCGGGGGUGGAGAAGCUCCCAAGGGUAUGGCUGUUCGCCAUUUAAAGUGUUACGCGAGCUGGGUUCAGACCG
RNAcentral lists this ribosomal RNA (2698 nucleotides) under wastewater metagenome. Its description in RNAcentral is "bacterial LSU rRNA". It matches the Rfam family "Bacterial large subunit ribosomal RNA", at positions 14 to 2618 of the family's 2925-position model. The record is from RNAcentral.